This 139-nucleotide ribosomal RNA is filed under the name uncultured eukaryote. Its description in RNAcentral is "partial 18S ribosomal RNA". It matches the Rfam family "Eukaryotic small subunit ribosomal RNA", at positions 1299 to 1458 of the family's 1831-position model. The record is from RNAcentral.
UGGUGGAGUGAUUUGUCUGGUUAAUUCCGUUAACGAACGAGACCGUCGCCUAGUAACUAGACGCGGGCGCUUGCGGGCGCGGCGCGCCUUCUUACGGGGACCAUUUGCGAUUAGCAAGAGGAAGUUGGCGGCAAAAACA